AAAAAUCACAGCACCAUGAAUUUUGUUCCAAUAUUAAAAUUUAAAAAAAAAAGUGAAAUAAGUUCUUGUGAUAUUAGUUUUAAACGAAGGUAUUUUAUAGAAAUCAAUGAAAAUGUUCUGCUCGAACCUAUUUCACAGAAAAUAAGUUCUGUGCUUGCAUGGGGUACAUUUGCAAUUGAAGGAAUGACUUUAGGAUGAAGAUAAGAAAUAAAAGCGAUGAUAAUGUAUCUAUGUUUGAUCGUUUAUGUGGUAUUC
This 255-nucleotide long non-coding RNA is filed under the name Mytilus galloprovincialis (Mediterranean mussel). The record is from RNAcentral. Lineage: Eukaryota; Metazoa; Mollusca; Bivalvia; Mytilida; Mytilidae.